Molecule: ribosomal RNA, 1271 nt
Filed under: metagenome
Description: bacterial LSU rRNA
Rfam family: Bacterial large subunit ribosomal RNA
Source: RNAcentral
GGGUAGGGUGAGAAUUCUAAGGCGCUUGAGAGAACUCAGGAGAAGGAACUCGGCAAAUUGACACCGUAACUUCGGGAGAAGGUGUGCCUUUAGUAAGUGAAUAACUUCGCGUUAAUAGCUGAAUAAGGUUGCAAAAAAUAGGUGGCUGCGACUGUUUAAUAAAAACACAGCACUCUGCAAACACGUAAGUGGACGUAUAGAGUGUGACGCCUGCCCGGUGCCGGAAGGUUAAAUGAUGAAGUGCAAGCUUUUGAUUGAAGCCCCGGUAAACGGCGGCCGUAACAAUAACGGUCCUAAGGUAGCGAAAUUCCUUGUCGGGUAAGUUCCGACCUGCACGAAUGGCGUAACGAUGGCCACACUGUCUCCUCCUGAGACUCAGCGAAGUUGAAAUGUUUGUGAAGAUGCAAUCUACCCGCGGCUAGACGGAAAGACCCCGUGCACCUUUACUGUAGCUUUACAUUGGGUUUUGGCAAUAUUUGUUAGGAUAGGUGGGAGACUAUGAAAUAAUCUCGCCAGAGAUUAUGGAGUCGACGUUGAAAUACCACUCUAAUAUUUCUAGAAUUCUAACCUUGGUCCAUUAUCUGGAUCGGGGACCGUGUAUGGUAGGCAGUUUGACUGGGGCGGUCUCCUCCCAAAGUGUAACGGAGGAGCGCGAAGGUACGCUAGGUACGGUCGGAAAUCGUACUGAUAGUGCAAUGGCAAAAGCGUGCUUGACUGCGAGACUGACAAGUCGAGCAGGUGCGAAAGCAGGUCAUAGUGAUCCGGUGGUUCUGUAUGGAAGGGCCAUCGCUCAACGGAUAAAAGGUACGCCGGGGAUAACAGGCUGAUUCCUCCCAAGAGUUCAUAUCGACGGGGGAGUUUGGCACCUCGAUGUCGGCUCAUCACAUCCUGGGGCUGUAGCCGGUCCCAAGGGUAUGGCUGUUCGCCAUUUAAAGUGGUACGUGAGCUGGGUUUAAAACGUCGUGAGACAGUUUGGUCCCUAUCUGCCGUGGGCGUUGGAAAUUUGAAUGGGGCUGUUCCUAGUACGAGAGGACCGGAAUGGACAUACCUCUGGUGUACCGGUUAUGACGCCAGUCGUACAGCCGGGUAGCUAAGUAUGGAAAAGAUAACCGCUGAAAGCAUCUAAGCGGGAAACUUGCCAUGAGAUAAGAUUUCCCUGGGAAAAUAUUCCCCUAAAGGCUCGUUGUAGAUCACAACGUUGAUUGGUCGAGUGUGUAAGCGCAGUAAUGUGUUUAGCUAAUCGAUACUAAUUGGCCGUGGGGCUCGAUCCU